AAGCUCGUAGUUGAAUUUCGGGAUCAGACUGUCGGUCGUGCCUCGGUACGCACUGGCAUUAUUGGUUCCUACCUUCUGAAGAACCGCGAUGUCAUUAAUUUGGUGUCGUGGGGAAUCAGGACUGUUACUUUGAAAAAAUUAGAGUGUUUAAAGCAGGCUUACGCUUGAAUACAUUAGCAUGGAAUAAUGAAAUAGGACGUUUGAUUCUACUUUGUUGGUUUCUAGGAUCGACGUAAUGAUUAAUAGGGAUAGUUGGG
RNAcentral lists this ribosomal RNA (257 nucleotides) under uncultured Glomus. RNAcentral's name for it is "partial 18S ribosomal RNA". It matches the Rfam family "Eukaryotic small subunit ribosomal RNA", at positions 624 to 886 of the family's 1831-position model. The record is from RNAcentral. Lineage: Eukaryota; Fungi; Glomeromycota; Glomeromycetes; Glomerales; Glomeraceae.